GUUCUCGGGGAGGGAUGAAGGCUUUGCCUGCUAUCUCUUACCCAUGUCUUUUGAGUACCUUACGUUUCCUCGGCGGGUCCGCCCGCCGAUUGGACAAAUUAAACCAUUUGAAGUUGCAAUCAGCGUCUGAAAAAACUUAAUAGUUACAACUUUCAACAACGGAUCUCUUGGUUCUGGCAUCGAUGAAGAACGCAGCGAAAUGCGAUAAGUAGUGUGAAUUGCAGAAUUCAGUGAAUCAUCGAAUCUUUGAACGCACAUUGCGCCCCUUGGUAUUCCAUGGGGCAUGCCUGUUCGAGCGUCAUUUGUACCUUCAAGCUCUGCUUGGUGUUGGGUGUUUGUCUCGCCUCUGCGUGUAGACUCGCCUCAAAACAAUUGGCAGCCGGCGUAUUGAUUUCGGAGCGCAGUACAUCUCGCGCUUUGCACUCAUAACGACGACGUCCAAAAGUACAUUUUUACACUCUUGACCUCGGAUCAGGUAGGGAUACCCGCUGAACUUAAGCAUAUCAAUAAGCGGAGGGAAA
RNAcentral lists this ribosomal RNA (521 nucleotides) under Pleosporales sp. HL4028S. RNAcentral describes it as "eukaryotic LSU rRNA". The stretch from base 148 to 301 matches the Rfam family "5.8S ribosomal RNA". Lineage: Eukaryota; Fungi; Ascomycota; Dothideomycetes; Pleosporales. The record is from RNAcentral.